UGAAUUUACACAAAAGUGGGUUCCAGUAUUGUUUGAUGACCAACAGUUGGACAGGAUAGUUAAGUACCUGACAGGCUUCCUUCAUAACUGUGAAAAAAUCUCAGAUGAAGUCUCCACCAUGCUGUCCUAUGACAAGCUUAAAUACAUCCUUGUUGUGAUGUUGCCAGAGGUAAGUCAAUAGGUGUCUUUUUAAAUGUAGAGGUAUGAGCAUAAUAACAUUGACAAUAAUAUGGAUGCAUAAUCGGGAUAUGAUACCUGUAACAAAGGUGACAGUAAAGGCCUUGGAAGAAAUAAGGAACAUGACAACAAAAGACGCAGUGGCAGAGGUUGAUCAUGGACCACUGGAUGAGAGUGAAAUGGAGGCCAUGGAGAUGGCAAUAAGGAAUGACAUGGAGAGGCGUGGGCUUGUGUAAAAACGAUCCAAUAAAGGUUUCUUAAAUCAGA
Long non-coding RNA from Melanotaenia boesemani (Boeseman's rainbowfish), 444 nucleotides. RefSeq lists it as uncharacterized. The transcript is spliced from 2 exons. The record is from RefSeq and is a predicted model, not a curated record. NCBI's taxonomy places the organism in Eukaryota, Metazoa, Chordata, Actinopteri, Atheriniformes, Melanotaeniidae.